GGAGAGGUGGCAGAGUGGUCGAAUUACCUGACUCGAAAUCAGCGUACCGGCAACGUACGUGGGUUCAUCCCACCUCUCCGCCA
This 83-nucleotide transfer RNA is filed under the name Ralstonia solanacearum. RNAcentral describes it as "tRNA-Ser". Lineage: Bacteria; Pseudomonadati; Pseudomonadota; Betaproteobacteria; Burkholderiales; Burkholderiaceae. The record is from RNAcentral.